This 2901-nucleotide ribosomal RNA is filed under the name Escherichia coli. RNAcentral describes it as "bacterial LSU rRNA". It matches the Rfam family "Bacterial large subunit ribosomal RNA". Lineage: Bacteria; Pseudomonadati; Pseudomonadota; Gammaproteobacteria; Enterobacterales; Enterobacteriaceae. The record is from RNAcentral.
UUAAGCGACUAAGCGUACACGGUGGAUGCCCUGGCAGUCAGAGGCGAUGAAGGACGUGCUAAUCUGCGAUAAGCGUCGGUGAGGUGAUAUGAACCGUUAUAACCGGCGAUUUCCGAAUGGGGAAACCCAGUGUGUUUCGACACACUAUCAUUAACUGAAUCCAUAGGUUAAUGAGGCGAACCGGGGGAACUGAAACAUCUAAGUACCCCGAGGAAAAGAAAUCAACCGAGAUUCCCCCAGUAGCGGCGAGCGAACGGGGAGGAGCCCAGAGCCUGAAUCAGUGUGUGUGUUAGUGGAAGCGUCUGGAAAGGCGCGCGAUACAGGGUGACAGCCCCGUACACAAAAAUGCACAUAUUGUGAGCUCGAUGAGUAGGGCGGGACACGUGGUAUCCUGUCUGAAUAUGGGGGGACCAUCCUCCAAGGCUAAAUACUCCUGACUGACCGAUAGUGAACCAGUACCGUGAGGGAAAGGCGAAAAGAACCCCGGCGAGGGGAGUGAAAAAGAACCUGAAACCGUGUACGUACAAGCAGUGGGAGCCUCUUAAUGGGGUGACUGCGUACCUUUUGUAUAAUGGGUCAGCGACUUAUAUUCUGUAGCAAGGUUAACCGAAUAGGGGAGCCGAAGGGAAACCGAGUCUUAACUGGGCGUUAAGUUGCAGGGUAUAGACCCGAAACCCGGUGAUCUAGCCAUGGGCAGGUUGAAGGUUGGGUAACACUAACUGGAGGACCGAACCGACUAAUGUUGAAAAAUUAGCGGAUGACUUGUGGCUGGGGGUGAAAGGCCAAUCAAACCGGGAGAUAGCUGGUUCUCCCCGAAAGCUAUUUAGGUAGCGCCUCGUGAAUUCAUCUCCGGGGGUAGAGCACUGUUUCGGCAAGGGGGUCAUCCCGACUUACCAACCCGAUGCAAACUGCGAAUACCGGAGAAUGUUAUCACGGGAGACACACGGCGGGUGCUAACGUCCGUCGUGAAGAGGGAAACAACCCAGACCGCCAGCUAAGGUCCCAAAGUCAUGGUUAAGUGGGAAACGAUGUGGGAAGGCCCAGACAGCCAGGAUGUUGGCUUAGAAGCAGCCAUCAUUUAAAGAAAGCGUAAUAGCUCACUGGUCGAGUCGGCCUGCGCGGAAGAUGUAACGGGGCUAAACCAUGCACCGAAGCUGCGGCAGCGACACUAUGUGUUGUUGGGUAGGGGAGCGUUCUGUAAGCCUGUGAAGGUGGCCUGUGAGGGUUGCUGGAGGUAUCAGAAGUGCGAAUGCUGACAUAAGUAACGAUAAAGCGGGUGAAAAGCCCGCUCGCCGGAAGACCAAGGGUUCCUGUCCAACGUUAAUCGGGGCAGGGUGAGUCGACCCCUAAGGCGAGGCCGAAAGGCGUAGUCGAUGGGAAACAGGUUAAUAUUCCUGUACUUGGUGUUACUGCGAAGGGGGACGGAGAAGGCUAUGUUGGCCGGGCGACGGUUGUCCCGGUUUAAGCGUGUAGGCUGGUUUUCCAGGCAAAUCCGGAAAAUCAAGGCUGAGGCGUGAUGACGAGGCACUACGGUGCUGAAGCGACAAAUGCCCUGCUUCCAGGAAAAGCCUCUAAGCAUCAGGUAACAUCAAAUCGUACCCCAAACCGACACAGGUGGUCAGGUAGAGAAUACCAAGGCGCUUGAGAGAACUCGGGUGAAGGAACUAGGCAAAAUGGUGCCGUAACUUCGGGAGAAGGCACGCUGAUAUGUAGGUGAAGCGACUUGCUCGUGGAGCUGAAAUCAGUCGAAGAUACCAGCUGGCUGCAACUGUUUAUUAAAAACACAGCACUGUGCAAACACGAAAGUGGACGUAUACGGUGUGACGCCUGCCCGGUGCCGGAAGGUUAAUUGAUGGGGUUAGCGGUAACGCGAAGCUCUUGAUCGAAGCCCCGGUAAACGGCGGCCGUAACUAUAACGGUCCUAAGGUAGCGAAAUUCCUUGUCGGGUAAGUUCCGACCUGCACGAAUGGCGUAAUGAUGGCCAGGCUGUCUCCACCCGAGACUCAGUGAAAUUGAACUCGCUGUGAAGAUGCAGUGUACCCGCGGCAAGACGGAAAGACCCCGUGAACCUUUACUAUAGCUUGACACUGAACAUUGAGCCUUGAUGUGUAGGAUAGGUGGGAGGCUUUGAAGUGUGGACGCCAGUCUGCAUGGAGCCGACCUUGAAAUACCACCCUUUAAUGUUUGAUGUUCUAACGUGGGCCCCUUACCGGGGUUGCGGACAGUGUCUGGUGGGUAGUUUGACUGGGGCGGUCUCCUCCUAAAGAGUAACGGAGGAGCACGAAGGUUGGCUAAUCCUGGUCGGACAUCAGGAGGUUAGUGCAAUGGCAUAAGCCAGCUUGACUGCGAGCGUGACGGCGCGAGCAGGUGCGAAAGCAGGUCAUAGUGAUCCGGUGGUUCUGAAUGGAAGGGCCAUCGCUCAACGGAUAAAAGGUACUCCGGGGAUAACAGGCUGAUACCGCCCAAGAGUUCAUAUCGACGGCGGUGUUUGGCACCUCGAUGUCGGCUCAUCACAUCCUGGGGCUGAAGUAGGUCCCAAGGGUAUGGCUGUUCGCCAUUUAAAGUGGUACGCGAGCUGGGUUUAGAACGUCGUGAGACAGUUCGGUCCCUAUCUGCCGUGGGCGCUGGAGAACUGAGGGGGGCUGCUCCUAGUACGAGAGGACCGGAGUGGACGCAUCACUGGUGUUCGGGUUGUCAUGCCAAUGGCACUGCCCGGUAGCUAAAUGCGGAAGAGAUAAGUGCUGAAAGCAUCUAAGCACGAAACUUGCCCCGAGAUGAGUUCUCCCUGACUCCUUGAGAGUCCUGAAGGAACGUUGAAGACGACGACGUUGAUAGGCCGGGUGUGUAAGCGCAGCGAUGCGUUGAGCUAACCGGUACUAAUGAACCGUGAGGCUUAACCUU